This 243-nucleotide long non-coding RNA is filed under the name Hordeum vulgare. RNAcentral describes it as "long non-coding RNA (HVUL_LNC015404)". The record is from RNAcentral. Lineage: Eukaryota; Viridiplantae; Streptophyta; Magnoliopsida; Poales; Poaceae.
CCCCAUCAAUCAAAUGUGGAAUUAGACCACCUACUUGACCCAUCUCUUUGGCCCUAUCAAUCAGUAUUGUCAACAUAUCUGCUACUAUGUUAAACAACACUGGAGACAUUGAAUCACCCUGUCUUAACCCCUUAUGUGUUUGAAAGUAGUGACCAAUGUCGGCAUUGACCUUCACUCCUACACUACCUUUAUGGAUGAAAGUAUCGACCUGAUUUCUCCAUCUUUCAUUGAAUCCUUUCAUCC